CGAAGGGUGCAAGCGUUACUCGGAAUUACUGGGCGUAAAGCGUGCGUAGGUGGUUUGUUAAGUCUGAUGUGAAAGCCCUGGGCUCAACCUGGGAAUGGCAUUGGAUACUGGCGAGCUAGAGUGCGGUAGAGGGUAGUGGAAUUCCCGGUGUAGCAGUGAAAUGCGUAGAGAUCGGGAGGAACAUCUGUGGCGAAGGCGACUACCUGGACCAGCACUGACACUGAGGCACGAAAGCGUGGGAGCAAACAGGAUU
This 253-nucleotide ribosomal RNA is filed under the name uncultured bacterium. Its description in RNAcentral is "partial 16S ribosomal RNA". It matches the Rfam family "Bacterial small subunit ribosomal RNA", at positions 526 to 779 of the family's 1533-position model. The record is from RNAcentral.